RNAcentral lists this ribosomal RNA (253 nucleotides) under uncultured bacterium. RNAcentral's name for it is "partial 16S ribosomal RNA". It matches the Rfam family "Bacterial small subunit ribosomal RNA", at positions 524 to 776 of the family's 1533-position model. The record is from RNAcentral.
UACGGAGGAUCCGAGCGUUAUCCGGAUUUAUUGGGUUUAAAGGGUGCGUAGGCGGCUUAUUAAGUCAGUGGUGAAAGCCUGGAGCUUAACUCCAGAACUGCCAUUGAUACUGAUGAGCUUGAGUAUAGUUGAGGUGGGCGGAAUGUGUCAUGUAGCGGUGAAAUGCUUAGAUAUGACACAGAACACCGAUUGCGAAGGCAGCUCGCUAAACUAUAACUGACGCUGAGGCACGAAAGCGUGGGUAGCAAACAGG